This 496-nucleotide ribosomal RNA is filed under the name uncultured bacterium. RNAcentral's name for it is "partial 16S ribosomal RNA". It matches the Rfam family "Bacterial small subunit ribosomal RNA", at positions 29 to 507 of the family's 1533-position model. The record is from RNAcentral.
AUGCACGCUGGCGGCGUGCCUCAUACAUGCCAGUCGAGCGAACAGACGAGGAGCUUGCUCCUCUGACGUUAGCGGCGGACGGGUGAGUAACACGUGGAUAACCUACCUAUAAGACUGGGAUAACUUCGGGAAACCGGAGCUAAUACCGGAUAAUGUAUUGAACCGCAUGGUUCAAUAGUGAAAGACGGUUUUGCUGUCACUUAUAGAUGGAUCCGCGCCGCAUUAGCUAGUUGGUAAGGUAACGGCUUACCAAGGCAACGAUGCGUAGCCGACCUGAGAGGGUGAUCGGCCACACUGGAACUGAGACACGGUCCAGACUCCUACGGGAGGCAGCAGUAGGGAAUCUUCCGCAAUGGGCGAAAGCUUGACGGAGCAACGCCGCGUGAGUGAUGAAGGUCUUCGGAUCGUAAAACUCUGUUAUUAGGGAAGAACAAAUGUGUAAGUAACUAUGCACGUCUUGACGGUACCUAAUCAGAAAGCCACGGCUAACUACGUG